CUUGAGAGGUAUGGGACAACUCUCUUUUCAACUCAAAAAUUUUGGUCCUGUUUGCAAUGCCAUAUCUGGCAUGAAGUUGGGACCAUAUACUUUGUGCAGUAUCAGAAUACUGAACACUUUCAGCAAUUUGUGGGGAGAGGGAGGCAGUUAACCAAGAAAUCACCAUGUUAUUGCACCUAACCCAUAACCUUUGUUGAGCCACAUUAGUGGCUGGUCGGGAGCACGUCCCAUCAACAAAACUAAUCUUAUUUUUAGCAGAUAAUGCACAACAAACAUUUUUCUCCUACAACCCCUAUAACCACUUCCCGAGAAGGGAGUAGGAACAAGAGAGACCCCAUGCACAUCGGAGGAGUAUAUAAAUAGAGGACUGGUAGAGUCUACCGAGGAGGAGGUACCAGUAUUCGUAUUAGAAGUCAUGAUUAAUGCACCAGUUUGAAAAGAAAAACAGUUUCGACAAGCAAAAUAUCACGAAACCAGAUAUUCACACAAAGCCAAAUAAGCACACACAAAGUAUACAAUACUCAAGAGAGGUACAGAGUUACCCUCCUUCUUCGCAACCGGAGAAGAUCGGCCUUCAGCCAAUCAGAGAAAACCAUAGGUACAAAACCCUAGGUGCAACCGUAGCAAACCUUACUGGAAGCGAAGAAUUGAUCUGAAACGAAGCACUUCGUCUAUAGGCAUUGUAGAAAGGAUAGAAUUUAUAGUCAGGGAUGUCGGAAAGUCACCCUAAACAUCUACUGAGUGAGAAUCGAGCCACCGGAUAGUAGUAAAACUCUAGGUUAAACCACCAGAAACCUUAGAAGCCGAUAGGUCACCCAAAAAUCACCCAAAAUCAUCAGAAAAACUCUCAGAACGUUCGAGUGAAGAAAAUACACUCAGAUAUCACGAUGAAAAACUCAGAAAGACGUUCGAUUUAGACCGGAAUCAUCAUCGACCAUAAGGUCUCAGAAACACCCCCAAAAAUCUCGAAACAGACUUCAUCCAAGACAAUGAGAUACAGAUAAACAUAGUCUGAUCGUCGUCUAGGCUCUGAUACCAUGUAAACAUUGAGAUUAGACCGAAAAAUCAUUGAGAAUGUAGAGAGAGAAACUAGAGAGAAGGAGGAGCGUUUGAGAACUCUCUAGAAUAGAGAGAGAAUUUAUUAAUCAGAAAUGAAAAUAGA
This 1162-nucleotide long non-coding RNA is filed under the name Nicotiana benthamiana. Its description in RNAcentral is "long non-coding RNA (NBEN_LNC004898)". Lineage: Eukaryota; Viridiplantae; Streptophyta; Magnoliopsida; Solanales; Solanaceae. The record is from RNAcentral.